AUUUUAGCAAAGGAAAAAUUAAUGUUGUGCUGUAGUCAUCACUUUGUAAGUGAAAGUGCAUGUAAGCUAUUACUUCAUGCAAGAUAAGGAUGUAGAAACAGAAGAGAGAUUGCUGAGUCAGUAAAAGUCAGCAACAUUUUAAAUCAAGGACCUGGAAUCAUCAACAAUUUGAGGGAAAAAAGAGGUGGCACAUUCUGAAAGGGAUAUAAAUUCUAAGAAAAGGAAAAUUGAAGAGGAAGAUUGCAAUUCUGCAGGAGCAAGGCCAACACUUCAGCCAACUGACCACUACUGUAUGUGUUGGACAGCAAGAUUCUUGUCUUGUACUCAGAAGUUGUAUAUAAUCCUGCUUUUCAGCUUCUGUGGCCAGUAAGAGAUAACCAAAGAACAGCAACCCAGAGAUCUGGGUGUUAUUGUGUUGUCAAAGUACAGUACAGCCAAACUUUAGGUUAACUCUUCUGUUUAAAGGGCUCUUCACAGAAAAAAAAA
Molecule: long non-coding RNA, 486 nt
Organism: Strigops habroptila (Kakapo)
Lineage: Eukaryota; Metazoa; Chordata; Aves; Psittaciformes; Psittacidae
Exons: 2
Source: RefSeq, a predicted model, not a curated record